Molecule: non-coding RNA, 483 nt
Organism: Nicotiana tabacum (common tobacco)
Lineage: Eukaryota; Viridiplantae; Streptophyta; Magnoliopsida; Solanales; Solanaceae
Source: RefSeq, a predicted model, not a curated record
AGCAUACCAUAAUCUGUGUGUGGUGGCAAUCCUAGUGUAAGAUCUGGCUCAGGACAUGCUGGAUAGCAAUUAACGGCCAUGACCUGAGAGCCUUCUGCAAUGUCUUCAUGUGACAUGGAUGUAACACGACAAGUAGGGUACCUGGAAGAAACCUAGUUCCUUGCAAGCCAGGUGUACUUCCUGGAUUAUCUGAGGCCGAAGAAGAGGGUGUCGCAGAAAGGAGAGAUCUACAACGGGCAAGCAUGUGUCACACAGGGUACGCUCGGGGCGUAAGGAUGGGGGAAGAAUGUAACGCUUGGGAACAUAGGUUAGCCCCUCUUCAUUUAGUGUCAUGGCAGUAGUAAAGGAACCAUUUGGUGAAGCUGAGCUAUCUCUCAUUUUUCCCACCAUAUUGUGCUCUUUCUCCCUUUAUGUUAUGGCUUAUCUCCCUAUUUAUAAGCAACAAAUGUGAAGAUAAGAUUGGAGUUUUUGAUUAUUUUUCCA